UGGCCUCGGCCAAAGGACGGGGAGCGAAGUCCGGGAGGCAGCGGAACCGGGGUGCAGGGUGCGGUGAGGCGACCAGGGCGGGCGAGGUCCGGGACCUGGCAUUUGGGUCUCCCGGCCGCAGGCGCGCGCGCGAGGGUUUCAGCCUGUGUCUAGGUUUUCCCAGGGGUGUGACAACCUCCGGAAAAGAGCCCUCCACUGGUAUCUGUCACUUGUGACAAGAGAAAGGGAUGAUCUGGCAUCUCAAGGACUACAACACCAGAUGGUCAACAUUCUGAGACCCCAUUUUCAGCCCAUUUGCCCUAUAACUGCUUCAAAAUGUUUUAGUUUUAAGAUGGUUCUUUAGGACGCUAGUCCACC
Molecule: long non-coding RNA, 357 nt
Filed under: Equus asinus (donkey)
Lineage: Eukaryota; Metazoa; Chordata; Mammalia; Perissodactyla; Equidae
Description: lncRNA (ENSEASG00005027238.1)
Source: RNAcentral